Molecule: RNA transcript, 2198 nt
Organism: Cannabis sativa
Lineage: Eukaryota; Viridiplantae; Streptophyta; Magnoliopsida; Rosales; Cannabaceae
Gene name: oxysterol-binding protein-related protein 2B-like
Exons: 4
Source: RefSeq, a predicted model, not a curated record
UAUUGCUAUUUUCAAUCCCAAUAAUUCUCCAUCCUACAACUGUAUCUGCGAUUCAUCAUCCCCAUUUAUAGUCUUUUUCUGAAUGGUGAAGUCCUAUCUCCAUUACCUUCCUCUUUCUCCAGUCUCGACCGACUAACUAAAUUCGAAAUCCCAAAUCGCACCACCACUGCCCGCUAGAAGACCGAUUCUGAAUCAGAAUUAAUGGAUUAUAUCACUUGCCUCUACAUCUGUCGCUCCUCACGACUGCUACCUAUCACCAUUGGCUUCUACGAUUUCAAUCAUUGAAGCCCUAAUGGUCCGAUGGUCCAGAGUCUCUCGUCACUGAAUCUCAACUCAAUGUUAUCCUUGUCGUGGCUCUGUGCCUGUCUAAAUGUCUAGAUUGUGCUGAUCUUCGUCCUAAAGUAGUGGUUUUGGAGUUCUUUCAUUCUAUUCGAACUUCAUUCUGUAAAUCGUUUUGGCUGCAAGCAUUUGGUACUGCUGUGAUUGCUUCGUUCUUGGCUGAGUUUUUGAGAUAUGUAUGCAAAGCGGCGGAAUCGUCGUUGGAUUUUGCAGCUGGGGUAGCUGAGUUAACGGGCGAGAUUGCGGUUUUUGCUAUCUGUAAUGGAGGAAGAGGAGAUUUGGGUAUUUUUAGGGAUUUUUUGAUUGCCCUGUUUCAAAACUUUCCUCUGAUUAUGGCUUCCGAUGCUGAGAAAUUGACUUCUUCACAAAGUUCACCUUUUAGUUCAAGCCAAACUUCAGAUCACGUUACCUUAACAGCUAUCUCUCAGACUAUCAUCUUUGGAGUUGUGGUUGAACUUGUGUCUGUAUGAAUUGAUUUGAACAAUUUCCCCAGCUUCAUUUUCUCUGCCCCAUUCUAUUUCUAAGGUUCAUGGAUUUGUUGAAGAUGUUAUGGGGAAAAAUGUUGCUACAAUAUUUGGAAAGUGGGAUGAAAGCAUGUAUUAUAUUAAUGGUGACAGGGGCAACAAUAUGAAAGAUUGUAGUUCCUCCUCUGAUACAUCAUUAUUUUGGAAAAGGACUAUGCCAACGGUUAAUCUCACUCGGUACAACUUAACUUCAUUUGCAAUCACUUUGAACGACCUAACGGAAGGUUUGCAGCUUUGUCUGAUCCCGGGUAUUUGAUCACGGAAUGAAGGAGAAGCUCCCACCUACGGAUUCCAGGCUUAGACCAGACCAACGACAUUUGGAGAAUGGAGAAUAUGAGAAGACAAAUGCUGAGAAACAACGUUUAGAGAAAAGGCAAAGAAUGUCAAGGAAAUUACAAGAAAGUGGAUGGAAACCACAAUGGUUCGAAAGAGAAGGUAAAGAUGGACCUUCCGCUACAUGGGUGGCUAUUGGGAGUCACGCGAGCGAGGAAAAUAGGAUGAAUGUCCCAACAUAUUUGGUGAAUUUGAUGAAGCUCUUGCUGAGAGCCCUUAAAAAACGUACUUAACUAGAACAAGAAGGCAUAUCAUGACACUCAUGAUCAUUCAGGUAAUAUCUAUCUCAUUCUUCUUUUCUCUUUCCUUGACUUAGACUACUUAUUUUUAUUCAACACUUCAUUAUAUAACAUAAAAUCAUAUCAAAUGGGGGCUGCAUUGCCUUUCACAAUUUGUAUUUAGUAAAGAAAAGCUCUACAGAUUAAAACCUAUUCCGGUUGUUUUUUUUUUAAAAAAAAUUAUUUCUUGAAUCGGUCCUUCUGAUCGGAGAAUUUGAAAUGAGAAUGAGAAUGCGAAUGAAUGCAGUUGACUGAAAAGAGGAAAAAGAAGAAAAAGAAAAAACUGACCUUAAAGUGGAAAUGUAAACAAGGAUUCAUCUUCUUCCUCUAACUACUACAAGUUGAUGAAGUUAGAUUAUAGUCUAAUAUAUCCUUUGUAACAACUUCAAAGAUUGUUAGAUUAUAGUCUAACAUAAUUAUCCAUGUAAUAACACCCUAUAUCAGUGUCUAAUGUAUGAGUGUCAUCAGCUAGCUUAUCAUCAUGUAAUGUAAUUCUCUUGUUCCCCUACCCCCGCUUUUUUUUUUCUUUAUUUUCUUCCCAAUAUAUAUUUUUUCUUGAUCUGUGCUGCUGACCCUUGUAGGUUCAGAAAACAUUGAUUUUAGUUUCACAUUUAUUUGUACUUUCUCUCUCUCUCUAUUGGAAUAAAAGAAGAAAUGUGUAUUCAUAUAAUUAUUGUUGUUUUUCUUUAUUGAACAAAUUAAAUUAUUAUUGUAAUUCUUGUAA